AAGUCGUAACAAGGUUUCCGUAAACCGCAACGCCUGCGGAAUCCUUGUGCUCCAGUCCCCCAGGGGGCGAGAGAUGCAGUCUGCCGGAACGAGUCAUUCGAACCGGCAGCCGUGCCCCCGGGCAUGGUCCACAGACUAGACGCGUCUCGUCGACUCCCCACGGGAGCGAUGUUGAUAUAGUCGGCCCCGGCGAUCGAACGCCGGGCUUAGCGAGGUGAACCUGCGGAAGGAUCAUUAAAUGAGAAAGGUCGCCUGGAGAAGAAAAUAUCUGGGCGAACACUCUCCACCCAUUGCUUGUUAUACGUUAGUUGCUUUGGCGGGCCAGAGGCCCAGCCCCGCCGGCUCAGGCUGGCGAGCGCCCGCCGGAGGCCAAUAUUACAAACCCUGAAGUAAACCGUGAAGUCUGAACAGAAACUAUGAAAAUAGCCUAAAACUUUCAACAACGGAUCUCUUGGUUCUG
Molecule: unclassified non-coding RNA, 460 nt
Filed under: air metagenome
Description: partial contains small subunit ribosomal RNA, internal transcribed spacer 1, and 5.8S ribosomal RNA
Source: RNAcentral